CAGCCCUGAGGACCCUGUCUCAUGCAUAGAACCUGGACUGGCUAUCUAUUUCUCAUAUGUGUAUCAACCUGGAUAGCACCUUGACAACACCUUCCCCCUUGAGAGUGGCCUCUGACACCUCUCUUCCUUAUUUCAGGAACUUAAAGGCUACCUAAUCUUCUGGGGAUGAAUCUCAAGGGAGGAAACACUAUGAAGUAGUUGAAGACACAUCUGUGUAUACUGAAGUCUUAUUAGGAAACUAUUCACUCUCUCUUUUCUUAGUUAAACACAUUAUUGUGAAAGGAGUAAUAACAUGAAUCCUACAGAUUUAGUAAGCAAAUCUGUUCAACAAGUCAUGCUUUUGAUUAUGUCACCAAAGACAUACCCUGUCUUUGUUUAAAGGUAUAUGUUAUCAGGAAGUGUUAAACCCUAUAAGAUAUUGCUUUAGAUUUUAGAUAAAAUCUUGUCAAAUCUGAA
Long non-coding RNA from Bubalus bubalis (water buffalo), 456 nucleotides. RefSeq lists it as uncharacterized. Lineage: Eukaryota; Metazoa; Chordata; Mammalia; Artiodactyla; Bovidae. The transcript has 2 exons. The record is from RefSeq and is a predicted model, not a curated record.